AUGAAUAUUCAUGAUACUAAUGAUGAUUGCACUAGUCAUGAUAAAGAAGUUUCUUAUAAGCAUGUCAAUUUUUGUGGAGUGAAUAGAGUUAGUGAAGACAUGCCUUAUAGGGAUGAUAGAUUUUGUAAGAAGCAUAAACAUGAUGAAACCAAUCGAUGGCUUAAGGUGAUAACUAAAUUUUCUACAAAAUUAUGCUCUCUUCAUCCCCUUAUUUGUGAACUUUGCAAUAGAGUUGAUCAUCUUAAUUUCCAAUGCACACUUUUUCAUGAUCGAAUCGUGCCUAAAAUAGCAAUAACUUGA
RNAcentral lists this ribosomal RNA (300 nucleotides) under Triticum aestivum (bread wheat). RNAcentral describes it as "partial small subunit ribosomal RNA". The record is from RNAcentral. Lineage: Eukaryota; Viridiplantae; Streptophyta; Magnoliopsida; Poales; Poaceae.